Salmo trutta (river trout) is the source of this 4517-nucleotide long non-coding RNA. The record is from Ensembl. Lineage: Eukaryota; Metazoa; Chordata; Actinopteri; Salmoniformes; Salmonidae.
AGAGUAUGGCUAUAACGUAACAAAUAGUGGAAAAAGUAAAGAACUCUGAAUACUUUCCGAAUGCAGUGUAACUCCCACCGACUACAAUUCCAGAUUGUCCUGGUUGUAUUUACUCAGUGUCUCUAUUGCUUUGGUAUUUCAGAUAACAAUGAUGCUAGUUUACCACCCUGCAUGGAUGAGAAUGAGCCAAGUGUCUCAGAUGACUCCAUCACCAUGGGCUACAGGCUGCAGGACCUCACUGACAUCCAGGUCAUGGCUCGCAUGCAGGAGAAGAGUUUAAGACAAGACUAUUCCUCCAUCCCUGCUGCUGCCACACCAUUCAGGAGUGUUGGUACAGCCAUGCUGUCACCUUGUAAUUAUGGCUACAGUGAUCUGGAGUUCGACAAGUAUAGUCUGGAGAACACAGUCGCAUACACAACUCCUCCCAGCCAGCUGCCCCACUACCGGCCCUCCCCAUUGGGCCAGUCAUCCAGAUCCAUAGCCCAGCCUGGUCACAGCAGCCAGCUGCCAAGGCUUCCCAGUCAGGCCACCACUCAAUCUAAGCUGCUUAAACUCGCAAAGAGAAUAGGUAAAAAGAGCGCCUGAAUAGAAAAUUAAAUUUGACACACAAAUUCACAUAUUGACUUUUACUUGAAAACAAAAAAAAAUCGACACUACCAGUUUAACAUGAUCUGCUAUGUGUGUUUGACCGAUUGUAUAUGUGAAAUGGGAGUUGACCCAGAUGUAGGUUGUUGUUGUUGUAGAGGAGCUGAAAAGCUGCAUGCAAAACAUCCUGGAGGCUAACGGCCAGCUCCCCACAAACCAGCCCACCUCCCGCCUGACCCCUAUCGCUGGUUCAACCAGAUCUCCACCUGGUGGGUUAGUAUUUUAGUAGGGAGAGCAUAUACUAAACCAUAAUGUCUAUACACACCAUCAUGUACAUAUAUAUUUCGGACUAUGACAUUGUUUAUUCUGAUAUUUUUGGGAUAUUGUUAGGUAUUACUGCACUGUUGGAGCUAGAAACUGAAGCAUUUCACUGCACCUGCGAUAACAUCUGCAAAAUAUGUGUACACGACCAAUAAAAUUUGAUUGCAUCUCAGCAAGCGUAUAGAAAUCCAUAGGAAUUGAAUUUUGUACUUGCUUUUAUUUCAUACACAUGUUUAGGCCAUAAUUCCAAACUUAUGAUUACCUCCUACAGUAGGUGCGUCUUCAGUCAAGCUUGGGAGUGGUGGCCGAUCUUCAUUUGUCCCUACCAAAACCCUGAGCUCCAGUGACCCUGCGACUGAAGCAGUACGCCAGUCCCUGAGAGAAUGAUUUCAGUCCUCUUCCAUCAGAGGGCUGCAGAGACCCCAGUCCCUUAGCCCCGCUGGUUUGAGGAACCCCUGUCCCAGUAAGGACCUCUCAGUUGGAGAGUACCUGUCAAGUCAUGGUCGUGUCUAUGCCUCCCCUGAGAGAUCCACUACCCUGGCUUGGGACAGAAUGGGGCAGCCUGCCAAUGCACGUAGGCAAAACGGUGUACUCAACAUUCCUUAGUAAUCUGUAACUAAUGUAUUAAAGUACAUUAAACAGUAGGUUUGAUUUCUGUGCAUUUCAAUUGAGUUGUCAUUUUCUUCUGCCAAUCAUACAGUACUGAUUUAUUUAGUAUGGCUUCACAAUCUCUUCCACUGGAACUGGACACAUCCCUCCUUUCUCAGUUAUAAAUGCAAGGUGCUGCACAAUGCUACAUUCCAAACGACCUCCAACAAAUCAAUCUUAAUUUGAUUCAAAUGUUUUGAUUUGACACACAAAUCCACAUACUUAGAACUGAUACAGUAUAUCAUUAUUAACAUAAAGUAUCACACAGGUCUCGGUCAUAAAACACCAUCCUUUUCUUCAUACUACUUUUACACUGGUUUACAUGUAAAUGUCUUCCUCAAUCACUCCAGUACCCCUGCACAUUGAAAUAAUGGUACUGGCACUGCACUGACCUGUAUAUAAAACCUGUAUAUAACUGCAUUCUCGUGUUUCAUUUUUUUCUUAUCUCCAUUUCACUUGUUUUAUUUCUUAACUAUUUUACUAUAUCUAUUGUGCAUUAUUGGAAAAGAGCUCACAAGUUAAGCACUGUACUGUUUUACACCUACUAUAUUCUGUGCAUGUGACAAAAAUUGUAACAAUUUAUACCACAACAUGUUUCAGUUGAAAAGUCAGAAUUUAACACUGAGGACAGUUACAAUAUUGGGCAGAGGAGCUCCAACUUCAGAUAGUCUUGGCAAUUUGUUGCAAAGUGAGUGAGCAGUUGUGGUAUACACUGCACUUCCACCUAUACUUAGUACAUACAGACAUAUGUUUAAGAUUUCUAAACUUUACAAUAGUUACAUGACGUAUGUCUAGUUGUAGAGACAGGGACCAGCAGUUUUGGAAUAAAAUAUUGAAGACUGAGCGCAGUCUACUCCCCCACCGCCCCCACCCUUCCGAGCUAUCAGGGAGCUACGUGAUUGGUCCAGGCCUGAAAACAGCCUUAAGGAUCUAGAAUGUUGUACAGGCCUCUCAUUUGCACCAUGAGAAAUAUAACCUAAUUUAAUAAGAAGACUGCGGAAAGACUGUUCGAACCCGAAAAGUGUAAUUUAAAAAAGACACCAGUGACUUGGUUUGGUAAGUAUGUACUACGUUUAAUGCAAUAUGACAACGGGCCUCCACCCCAGUCGAAAAAAACAACAAUGGUGGCUAGCUAGCCAAGCUAAUUAACGGCAUAGCUAGCUCGGAAAUAUAUCGUGACUUUUGCAAGCCGAUGUUCAUUUGUGUUUUCUUUCAGUGCAUACUUUCUAAAGUAUAUACACAGUUGUGGGUUUACUGCGUUUAUUUUACUAAUAAUAUUGAUUACAAUUGCUGGGAAUGCUAUUGCUAACUAGUUAGCUCGCUAAUUUAGCACAGAACAGAAAAACAUUUGCAGAGCGUCAGUAUUGCACACUUGUUGGAUCCCUGAAAAAAAUCAUAGAUUCGAUGUAUGCUUAAAUAUCAUUUAGCAUGUUAUUCAUGCGUAUUCAUUAUUUUUGCUACAUUCACCUGCGCGCUCGAGCUAUACGUCAUUGUUGGCGGGGUUAUGUGCCCACAAUGUAAACAGAAGCCGCCAUAUUUAUUGCGUCUGGGCGCUCUCUCUGCUGUCUGUCAGUGGGUUGUAACUAGAUGGAGUACAGCUACGACCGGAAGGGACUUUUCCUAGCAGGUUGUAGCUAACCAUUUUCCUAACAUUAACCUAAUUCUCCUAACCUGACACGUUAAUUAUUCUAACCUGCUACGAAGAAGUCACUUCCAGUCGUAGCUAUAUAACACCUAGUCAAAAUUAACUUAAGCAGCAGGUUAUGAAAAUUAACGUAGAGGUUAGUAGAAUUAGGUUAAGAAAAAUAGUUAUGGUCGCGUGGAAAUUCUUACACAGGGACACUUGAAUGAUUUAGCAUAAUUAAUUGAUCAUUACCGUUUCAUUCAUGUGACUGACCAAUACUGGUUCAUAACAUGUGACAGAGCAUUACCUCACAAGGCUUCUUCUCUCUAAGCUGAGACCUGGAAAUUGAGAUCUCUUUCUCAAAACAAUGUCUGGGUGUACUGCCAAAUUGCAGAUACUGAUAGGUGAGGAUUCGUUAAAUCAGUCACUUGCAUUAACACAGAAAUUGGUUAUUAGAACAAUACAUGAAUAGACCACAGGUAUUAAUUAUCAGAAAAGCACAAACAUUAAAAUUCCCAUUAUAAGGGUUAGCUAAAAUGUUCUCCUAACCUGCUUCGAAAUGUUAACUUCCGUUCGUAGCUGUACUCCAUGUAGUACCAACCCAGUCAGUGGGCUACUGCAAGACUGUCAAAGCACUGUAACUACAGUGGUUACAAAGUGGCAUUGAUUCAUUACUGUCACCCACAACAAAGUUCAAAUUCUGGUACGUUAUCAAAUCCUGGAAGUAUGUUUUUUUUUUUCUUCAUGUGAACUCCAGAAAUAUCACAACUCAACCUAUCCAAACGUUGUACAUCACCUGUGAGAAUGUAUGAAUAUAAACAUGAUGUUGUAGAUUUUUGCUUCCCAUUAAAUUUAGCAAUGCAUCAUCAACCACAUUACUUCUGCAUUUAUCGGAUAGUUGACCCUUUCUCCUUAUAAUAUAAGAUAUUAUAAAGGCCCAUCCAAUCUUAUAAAAAGUAAUCAAGCAUUAUAGCUGUCUGCUUUAUUUCCACAAAAAAAAAAAAAUUCAGGAUAAUAUAAUGGAAACUGAUUUAUCGGCUGUGUUUUCCUUUUCUCUAUUUCAAGUGUCUUCUCCCUUGCUGAUGACAACAACAAAAAAGCAUAACACUUCACUGAUGGUUUGAGAGCUCAGCAUCAAUUAUGAAUGCUGAAAUGCAAUGUGUUUUUAAUCUUAACAUUUAGUAAUUUUAUGUCAAUGUUUAUUCAGCAUUGAUUACAGCAUUGAUGAAGAUCAAUCUGUUGAUUAUUUAAUUGAAUCAAGUGUGUUGACACAUUUGUAUUGAUUUAUGCAUUGACAGAGGUCCUGAUUGAUCAGAUAAAAUGAGAUCAACUUAAUCCU